RNAcentral lists this ribosomal RNA (253 nucleotides) under uncultured bacterium. RNAcentral describes it as "partial 16S ribosomal RNA". It matches the Rfam family "Bacterial small subunit ribosomal RNA", at positions 524 to 776 of the family's 1533-position model. The record is from RNAcentral.
GACAGAGGUGCCGAGCGUUAGGCGGAAUCACUGGGCUUAAAGCGUGUGUAGGCGGAUCUGUAAGUACCUUGUGAAAUCCCACGGCUCAACCGUGGAACUGCUUGGUAUACUGCGGGUCUUGAGCCACCUAGGGGCAAGUGGAACAAACGGUGGAGCGGUGAAAUGCGUAGAUAUCCGGAAGAACACCGGUGGCGAAGGCGGUCUGCUGGGGUAAUGCUGACACUGAUGCGCGACAGCGUGGGGAGCAAACAGG